CUUGUUUCCUCGGUGUAUAUAAAGAGAGAGAGGCUCCUGCCUCGACAACCAGCACAAGAUUAAUUAGGGGAAGGCUGCUUGACGAUCUUCUCAUGUCUACCUCGACCCAGGACUUGGACAACAUCUUCCAUGCCUUCGACAUGGGUUCUCUGAGAACUCACCUCCCCAUAAAAAGGAAAGGGUUGUCGAAAUAUUUCUCCGGCCAAUCGAAGUCUUUUAAGUGCCUGGCGGAUGCAAAGUGCGUCGAGGAUCUUAAGAAGACGGACGUGCCGGAGAGAAAGCGGCGGAAGUAUUUGGACCGCCGGGCAGCAGCGUCCAAUAACGCACUACUCUUCUCCUGUAGCAGUUAGAUGUGUUAUAUUGUUCUUGCCACAGGUCUCCCUCGAUAGGUGCGCGGUCUCUCUACCUGCUGCGGCACCCUCGAUCCAAUAUAUAUAUAUUGAAAGAUUGCAUUAUAACCUCUA
Musa acuminata AAA Group (dessert banana) is the source of this 464-nucleotide long non-coding RNA. RefSeq lists it as uncharacterized. Lineage: Eukaryota; Viridiplantae; Streptophyta; Magnoliopsida; Zingiberales; Musaceae. The record is from RefSeq and is a predicted model, not a curated record. The transcript has 2 exons.